RNAcentral lists this transfer RNA (94 nucleotides) under Pterocomma populifoliae. RNAcentral's name for it is "tRNA-Val". Lineage: Eukaryota; Metazoa; Arthropoda; Insecta; Hemiptera; Aphididae. The record is from RNAcentral.
UAAAUAUCUAAAUUUAAGUGUAUCAUUUACAAUGAUAGGAUGUUUUUUAAACUUUAUUUAAAUUGAAUUUAUUAAUAAUUUAAUUUGAAUUUAA